This 305-nucleotide ribosomal RNA is filed under the name uncultured bacterium. Its description in RNAcentral is "bacterial SSU rRNA". It matches the Rfam family "Bacterial small subunit ribosomal RNA", at positions 335 to 657 of the family's 1533-position model. The record is from RNAcentral.
GUCCUACGGGGCGCAGCAGUCGGGAAUAUUGCGCAAUGGAGGAAACUCUGACGCAGUGACGCCGCGUAUAGGAAGAAGGUUUUCGGAUUGUAAACUAUUGUCGUUAGGGAAGAUACAAGACAGUACCUAAGGAGGAAGCCCCGGCUAACUAUGUGCCAGCAGCCGCGGUAAUACAUAGGGGGCAAGCGUUAUCCGGAUUUAUUGGGUUUAAAGGGUGCGUAGGCGGAUUGAUAAGUUAGAGGUGAAAUGUCCGAGCUUAACUCGGGAACUGCCUCUAAUACUGUUGAUCUAGAGAGUAGAUGCGG